RNAcentral lists this non-coding RNA (83 nucleotides) under uncultured eukaryote. The record is from RNAcentral.
CCGAGCUCAUUGGCGGAAAGGAGCAGGCGCGGAAGGCAGCACAGGAGGCGCGCAAAUCAGCACGCUCGGGAAACGGCGAAGGC